This 285-nucleotide long non-coding RNA is filed under the name Nicotiana benthamiana. Its description in RNAcentral is "long non-coding RNA (NBEN_LNC037314)". The record is from RNAcentral. Lineage: Eukaryota; Viridiplantae; Streptophyta; Magnoliopsida; Solanales; Solanaceae.
AGAGUUCCCUUUUAAGCUCAAAAAUUUUAGUCUUAUUGGGGGUACCAUAUCUUUUUUCAAGCUGAGACCACAUACUUUGAGCAGUAUCAGAAUAUUGAACACUAUCAACAAUUUGGGAUGACAGAGAAGAAGUCAACCAGGAAAAUAACUAACAUAUACACCUAUCCCAUAGCCUCUGUUGGGUCACGUUAGUACUAGGCCGAGAAAAGGAACCAUCAAUGUAACAAAUUUUGUUCUUAGCAGACAAAGCCAUAAUCAUCUUACGUUUCCAACCUCCAUAACCAC